Cavia porcellus (domestic guinea pig) is the source of this 1096-nucleotide long non-coding RNA. RefSeq lists it as uncharacterized. The record is from RefSeq and is a predicted model, not a curated record. NCBI's taxonomy places the organism in Eukaryota, Metazoa, Chordata, Mammalia, Rodentia, Caviidae. The transcript has 3 exons.
CUUUGGAAAACACAAGUGCCCCAUAAGUUCCCUCAGUGGUUCAUUGGAGAUGCCUUUGGUUGCUACUAAGUACUCGAUUCACAGUCUUUAUGGUUUCUUGGCUGUUAAUUCACUGCUGUCACAGUGUUUGAACUUCCUUUAGAAGGAGGGCAUUUCCGCCCACAACUUUGUCAGCCUAGCUUGAUUUGCUUCAGUAACAAAGAACUUGGCAGAGUUAUGAGGACAAACAGCAGAUUAUCAAUGGAUGUCACAUAAGCUGAUACAGCCAUGAAGUUGCUCACUGGUUAAAGAGAAGCAAUAAAAACAUUUCCCAUCCAAUUCUAGUAUGUGCGUUGAAAUGGAAGACUGAACAUUAAGACUGAGCAGAUGUUAUGGUUUGAUAACUAGUGGUCAAAUUAAUGCCAGCUGGAUUACAUCAGCAUGCAUUGAGAGAAGAUGCUCCACCUGAGAAGGCCAGGAUAAAUAGGUGGAGAAGAAGAGAGGUGUUGAGAGGGAUUGAGGCAUUAAGGAGACAUUGUGGGUUCUCCUACUAGUUGCUGUCUGAGCUGUUGGUUCUCCUGGAGAAGCUUUGGUCUUCACAUCGAGCAUUGCUUCCUGGCUCCGGAGGGGAAGACAUGUGCUGCCUGGUCUCCAGCAUGAACUCGUCAUGCUGCUUCCUGGCAUGUACCCGACUGUGCUUGUCGAAGGAGCUUGGGGCCUCCGUGUCGCUGAGGACAGCCGUGGUGCCUUUCAGGACAGCCCUGCUCUUUGCUGUGAGUGUGACUUCUCGGUUCCAGUGUAGAACCCUCAUCCCACUAGCACAGCUCCUUCAUCCUGCUGGCAUAGACUUUCUGGCUUCCACCACUGACCCUUGGGUCUUCCCGGCAUGGAUCCAUAAAAGAGACUGGCGUGAGUCCUUCUUGUGGGCUCUGGAUUUCCAGUUGGACUCGUGGAGGCAUUGUCCUGAGCUCUGGGUUUUUAUCUGGACUCAUGUGGGACAUUGCCUUGGGGUUUAGACUCUUGACUAAAUAAUCUAUGUCAUUGGUGUUGCAGAUAGAUUUCCUGCAUUCUCCUGUGUUAACUUCUGGUGAUCAUUAUAAAAACAUUAUAAACUCCA